AGAGUUUGAUCAUGGCUCAGAUUGAACGCUGGCGGCGUGCUUAACACAUGCAAGUCGAGCGGUAACAGGCGUAGCAAUACGUGCUGACGAGCGGCGAACGGGUGCGUAAUACAUGGGAAUCUGCCUAGUAGUGGGGAAUAACCCGGCGAAAGCCGGGCUAAUGCCGCAUACGAUCCACGGAUGAAAGCGGGGGACCUUCGGGCCUCGCGCUAUUAGAUGAGCCCAUGCCGGAUUAGCUAGUUGGUGAGGUAACGGCUCACCAAGGCGACGAUCCGUAGCUGGUCUGAGAGGACGGCCAGCCACACUUGGACUGAGACACGGCCCAGACUCCUACGGGAGGCAGCAGUGGGGAAUAUUGGACAAUGGGGGCAACCCUGAUCCAGCGACGCCGCGUGUGUGAAGAAGGCCUGCGGGUUGUAAAGCACUUUCGGUGGGAACGAAAUAUGCCGGGCUAAUAUCCCGGUAGGCUGACGUUACUCAAUGAAGAAGCACCGGCUAACUCUGUGCCAGCAGCCGCGGUAAUACAGAGGGUGCGAGCGUUAAUCGGAAUUACUGGGCGUAAAGCGCACGUAGGUGGCUGUGUAAGUCGGGUGUGAAAU
This 599-nucleotide ribosomal RNA is filed under the name uncultured Beggiatoa sp. RNAcentral describes it as "bacterial SSU rRNA". It matches the Rfam family "Bacterial small subunit ribosomal RNA", at positions 8 to 600 of the family's 1533-position model. The record is from RNAcentral. Lineage: Bacteria; Pseudomonadati; Pseudomonadota; Gammaproteobacteria; Thiotrichales; Thiotrichaceae.